RNAcentral lists this ribosomal RNA (497 nucleotides) under uncultured bacterium. RNAcentral describes it as "partial 16S ribosomal RNA". It matches the Rfam family "Bacterial small subunit ribosomal RNA", at positions 28 to 507 of the family's 1533-position model. The record is from RNAcentral.
GAUGAACGCUGGCGGCGUGCCUAAUACAUGCAAGUCGAGCGAACAGAUGAGGAGCUUGCUCCUCUGACGUUAGCGGCGGACGGGUGAGUAACACGUGGAUAACCUACCUAUAAGACUGGGAUAACUUCGGGAAACCGGAGCUAAUACCGGAUAAUAUAUUGAACCGCAUGGUUCAAUAGUGAAAGACGGUUUUGCUGUCACUUAUAGAUGGAUCCGCGCCGCAUUAGCUAGUUGGUAAGGUAACGGCUUACCAAGGCAACGAUGCGUAGCCGACCUGAGAGGGUGAUCGGCCACACUGGAACUGAGACACGGUCCAGACUCCUACGGGAGGCAGCAGUAGGGAAUCUUCCGCAAUGGGCGAAAGCCUGACGGAGCAACGCCGCGUGAGUGAUGGAGGUCUUCGGAUUGUAAAACUCUGUUAUUAGGGAAGAACAAAUGUGUAAGUAACUAUGCACGUCUUGACAGUACCUAAUCAGAAAGCCACGGCUAACUACGUG